UUUCCGUAGGUGAACCUGCGGAAGGAUCAUUAACACGUAUCCACGUAUCAAACCCCUCUGUGAAAACUUAUUCUCUUGCAAGGCUUGGUCUUAGUGUGUUGCUCGUACAAGUCCUAAUGAUGGAGGUCUCUUCGGAGACCUAGGGCUUGAGUGGCAUGUGUUUGACGAUCAGCCGUCACUUUUCCAUCGUUGGCCUUUACCUCUAUUUUUAACCCCUUUGUACUCUUUUGUACUGAACCAAUUCUUCGAUGCUUUUUUCGAAAAGCGACGAAAGAUAUUACGAAACUAAAGAACAACUCUUAGCAACGGAUAUCUUGGUUCCC
Molecule: unclassified non-coding RNA, 323 nt
Filed under: root metagenome
Description: partial contains small subunit ribosomal RNA, internal transcribed spacer 1, and 5.8S ribosomal RNA
Source: RNAcentral